UCCUCACAGCAGCUGCGAGAAUAAGAGCUGCACCUGCCAGAGCCCACCCGGUUAGAAAGAGGUGGUGCUGGGAUCUGCACCCGCUGGCCAUCUCUGGAGACCACCAUGAGCCAGGGUCCCUGGUGACGGCCCGGGGAAGGGGCAGGUGCGGCACCAUGGAAGGUCGGAGGAGGGCAGAGGCAAAGAAGGCCAUGGAAACGGACAAGAGGAGCCGCCCUGCCGUUCUGCACCACGUUCUGCACAGCUUUUCUCCCCAUGGCCCGAGGAGCCCAAGGAGACGCCACGCAGGGGGCCAGGGGCCUCUGCUUGCUGCCCAGGCCUCAAGCCACAAGAGAAAGCAACAUUCACCUUUAACUGCAUCACAGACUGAACGUUAACCCACUGAAGACCCGCCACCCUGUUAACUGGCUAGAAUGGAGGUGAUCCUGCGGCUCCACUGAACAGAAACAGAUCCUGAGAUCCUGAGACCUUAAGGUAAGCGUCUGAACACUGUCACCAUGUACAACGUCUAUCUAUUGCUUUACUGGACAAUCAGAGCGAGAAACAAAUGCAUUCGAUGCUGUGGAGGUAGAAGACACCAUUGUUGCUACCCCAACCCCAAAUGUCUGCAUCAGGACCAGCUGAGCUCUUCUUGGUCAUUAUCUUUUGAAUAAAUGUUACACAUUUGAAUAGAACAAUUUACGCUAAUAAAAUACAGUUGACCCUUGAACAGGUUUCCAGGGUUUGAACUGAAUG
Molecule: long non-coding RNA, 735 nt
Organism: Physeter macrocephalus (sperm whale)
Lineage: Eukaryota; Metazoa; Chordata; Mammalia; Artiodactyla; Physeteridae
Exons: 3
Source: RefSeq, a predicted model, not a curated record